GGGACACGUGGUAUCCUGUCUGAAUAUGGGGGGACCAUCCUCCAAGGCUAAAUACUCCUGACUGACCGAUAGUGAACCAGUACCGUGAGGGAAAGGCGAAAAGAACCCCGGCGAGGGGAGUGAAAAAGAACCUGAAACCGUGUACGUACAAGCAGUGGGAGCACCCUUUGGGGUGUGACUGCGUACCUUUUGUAUAAUGGGUCAGCGACUUAUAUUCUGUAGCAAGGUUAACCGUAUAGGGGAGCCGCAGGGAAACCGAGUCUUAACCGGGCGUUAAGUUGCAGGGUAUAGACCCGAAACCCGGUGAUCUAGCCAUGGGCAGGUUGAAGGUUGGGUAACACUAACUGGAGGACCGAACCGACUAAUGUUGAAAAAUUAGCGGAUGACCUGUGGCUGGGGGUGAAAGGCCAAUCAAACCGGGAGAUAGCUGGUUCUCCCCGAAAGCUAUUUAGGUAGCGCCUCGUGAAUUCAUCUCCGGGGGUAGAGCACUGUUUCGGCUAGGGGGCCAUCCCGGCUUACCAACCCGAUGCAAACUGCGAAUACCGGAGAAUGUUAUCACGGGAGACACACGGCGGGUGCUAACGUCCGUCGUGAAGAGGGAAACAACCCAGACCGCCAGCUAAGGUCCCAAAGUCAUGGUUAAGUGGGAAACGAUGUGGGAAGGCCCAGACAGCCAGGAUGUUGGCUUAGAAGCAGCCAUCAUUUAAAGAAAGCGUAAUAGCUCACUGGUCGAGUCGGCCUGCGCGGAAGAUGUAACGGGGCUAAACCAUGCACCGAAGCUGCGGCAGCGACACUCAGGUGUUGUUGGGUAGGGGAGCGUUCUGUAAGCCUGUGAAGGUGGCCUGUGAGGGUUGCUGGAGGUAUCAGAAGUGCGAAUGCUGACAUAAGUAACGAUAAAGCGGGUGAAAAGCCCGCUCGCCGGAAGACCAAGGGUUCCUGUCCAACGUUAAUCGGGGCAGGGUGAGUCGACCCCUAAGGCGAGGCCGAAAGGCGUAGUCGAUGGGAAACGGGUUAAUAUUCCCGUACUUGGUGUUACUGCGAAGGGGGGACGGAGAAGGCUAUGUUGGCCGGGCGACGGUUGUCCCGGUUUAAGCGUGUAGGCUGGUUUUCCAGGCAAAUCCGGAAAAUCAAGGCUGAGGCGUGACGACGAGGCACUACGGUGCUGAAGCAACAAAUGCCCUGCUUCCAGGAAAAGCCUCUAAGCAUCAGGUAACAUCAAAUCGUACCCCAAACCGACACAGGUGGUCAGGUAGAGAAUACCAAGGCGCUUGAGAGAACUCGGGUGAAGGAACUAGGCAAAAUGGUGCCGUAACUUCGGGAGAAGGCACGCUGACAUGUAGGUGAAGUGAUUUACUCAUGGAGCUGAAGUCAGUCGAAGAUACCAGCUGGCUGCAACUGUUUAUUAAAAACACAGCACUGUGCAAACACGAAAGUGGACGUAUACGGUGUGACGCCUGCCCGGUGCCGGAAGGUUAAUUGAUGGGGUCAGCGCAAGCGAAGCUCCUGAUCGAAGCCCCGGUAAACGGCGGCCGUAACUAUAACGGUCCUAAGGUAGCGAAAUUCCUUGUCGGGUAAGUUCCGACCUGCACGAAUGGCGUAAUGAUGGCCAGGCUGUCUCCACCCGAGACUCAGUGAAAUUGAACUCGCUGUGAAGAUGCAGUGUACCCGCGGCAAGACGGAAAGACCCCGUGAACCUUUACUAUAGCUUGACACUGAACAUUGAGCCUUGAUGUGUAG
RNAcentral lists this ribosomal RNA (1737 nucleotides) under Salmonella enterica subsp. enterica serovar Hull. RNAcentral's name for it is "partial 23S ribosomal RNA". It matches the Rfam family "Bacterial large subunit ribosomal RNA", at positions 419 to 2141 of the family's 2925-position model. Lineage: Bacteria; Pseudomonadati; Pseudomonadota; Gammaproteobacteria; Enterobacterales; Enterobacteriaceae. The record is from RNAcentral.